GGUCUUGACAUCCCGGAGACCCUUAGGAAACUAAGGGGGUGGCUUCCAUCUGGAAGAAGUCUGGAGGACAGGUGCUGCAUGGCUGUCGUCAGCUCGUGUCGUGAGAUGUUGGGUUAAGUCCCGCAACGAGCGCAACCCUUGCCUUAGUUGCCAUCAGUUCGGCUGGGCACUCUAUGGAGACUGCCACCUAAAGUGGAGGAAGGUGGGGAUGACGUCAAGUCAGCAUGGCCCUUACGUCCGGGGCUACACACGUGCUACAAUGGCCGGCACAACGGGAAGCGAGUUCGCGAGGACGAGCGGAUCCCUCAAAGCCGGUCGCAGUUCGGAUUGAAGUCUGCAACUCGACUUCAUGAAGCUGGAAUCGCUAGUAAUCGCGCAUCAGCCAUGGCGCGGUGAAUACGUUCCCGGGCCUU
RNAcentral lists this ribosomal RNA (413 nucleotides) under uncultured Synergistaceae bacterium. RNAcentral's name for it is "bacterial SSU rRNA". It matches the Rfam family "Bacterial small subunit ribosomal RNA", at positions 977 to 1382 of the family's 1533-position model. Lineage: Bacteria; Thermotogati; Synergistota; Synergistia; Synergistales; Synergistaceae. The record is from RNAcentral.